RNAcentral lists this ribosomal RNA (495 nucleotides) under Cladophialophora sp. LS-2013. RNAcentral describes it as "eukaryotic LSU rRNA". The stretch from base 155 to 309 matches the Rfam family "5.8S ribosomal RNA". Lineage: Eukaryota; Fungi; Ascomycota; Eurotiomycetes; Chaetothyriales; Herpotrichiellaceae. The record is from RNAcentral.
GUUUAUUGAACCUCUGUUGCUUCGGCGGACCCGCCUUACGGCCGCCGGAGGGUUGUCACCAAUCCUCUGGCCAGCGUCCGCCGACGGCCAACCUUUUAAAACUCUGUAUGAAUCGUGUCAUGAUGUCUAAGUACAAUUGCAAAAUUAAAAGCAAAACUUUCAACAACGGAUCUCUUGGUUCUGGCAUCGAUGAAGAACGCAGCGAAAUGCGAUAAGUAAUGCGAAUUGCAGAAUUCCAGUGAGUCAUCGAAUCUUUGAACGCACAUUGCGCCCUUUGGUAUUCCGAAGGGCAUGCCUGUUCGAGCGUCAUUAUCACCCCUCAAGCCCCGUGCUUGGUGUUGGACGGCCGGUCGCCUCACCGCGACCCCUCCGAAAGACAAUGACGGCGGCCUGUGGUUCCCCCGGUACACUGAGCUUUUCACGGAGCACGUACCGGACGUGGGCGCCCGGGACCCGGUCUUCUCCUUUAGCUAGGAAACUUCUUAUGGUUGACCU